CUCUCUUUCUUCAUCUCUCUCUAUCAGUGGCUGAAUCUCAAUCUCCUCCCUGAACCCUGAGCCCUGAGUCCCCAUUGACUUAAGGGACUGCACCCAGAAAGUGAUUGAGUGAAUGAGGCGGCAAGGGCUUGAGGUACUAUGAAUAGGAAUGGGACAGCCUUUUGUUGAAAGCAAUGCAUCAUGCUACUCAAAAUUGCAGCUUUGUGGCUUUUUAUUUUACCUUUUUUGCUUUACUAAACUGCAUUUUAGUCGAGUCAGAAAAAUAGCAUUAAACAAUGAUCUACUCCCACAUAGGCAUUGAUAAGCUUGACAAGAAAUAAAACAAAUAUACCUUUCCUACAUGGCUAUUUCCUUUGUUGAUUAAGGCUGUUUUCAUAUAUAAUAUAUAAUAUACCUACACAAGAUCUUCUUUUUUGGAGCGUCAAUACUGAUAACACCCUCCAUGUUUUUUGUUUGUUAUUUUGCUCAGUUCACUUCCAUUUUAUAGCAGCUGUCAUCUGGUUGCCCCGGGAGAUUCCUUUCAAACUUCACAAUGCAAUGAACUAUGGUUGAUUAACUUACACAAAGUCUGCAGAUAUGCCCACUCACAGGAAGGGUGCAUAAAGGGGCUCAAAAAGUCAGCAAGAGAUCCCUCAAACACUUUGUGAUUAGACAGUGGGACAGCCCUAAACCCUCACGGAGUGUGGACAUUGGGAUUGGGCCAGUGUCUCCUCUGUCCAUCUCUCUCCUCUGUCCAUCUCCCUCUCUUCCCUCUCUAAACCCAGCUCAGUCUCAGCAGAUGACUGUCUAACAUCAGUCCGGUCCUGCUGAAGGUUUCUGCCUGUUAAAGGAAGUUCUUCCUCUCCACUGUAACUUGAUAAAUGCUACAAAGUCUGGUGAAACCAAAUUACAGCUGAAGUUACAAACCAACAUUUUUCAACCUAUGGUUUAGUGUUGACUUACCCUAAUACAGACAGCUCUUCUUAGUGGCAGCAGCCUCUCCCUUCCUCCCUCCCUUCUCUCCUUUCCUUUUCCCCUGGUGGGCGUGAGUGAGGUGUGUGCAGCACAGACAGGUGCAGGCAAUUGGUAAUCACCAGACUCUCCAACCUCUGCCAUAAAACCAGAUCGCAGCCACAACUCAGAUCUAGAAUGCUGUAAAAACACAGUUAGUGAAAUGAAUUUUGAUCAAACUUGCUGCCUUUUUUGUUCUACCCUGGAUGCUGAUCCUUUGUUUGUUUGUUUGUUUGUUUUUUAUUAAAGUUUCCAGCCCAUCCUUCCUGCUUCAUUCUGCUCACCUGCUGGACUUCUAAAUCACUCAGCCAUGCCACACGCAUCCUCAGCCUGCCGUCCCUUACCCUCUCCCUAAACUGAUCCUGCACUAAGACUCUCUACUUGCUCUCUGGGUCGGUUUGUUGAAGCCAAGUUAAUUAUUUGUUUUGUAGAGUGUUUUGUUUUCUUUUCAGCUUGUUUCCUGGUUAUUUAAUUUUCUGAAUUUGGUUUUUUAUCUGG
This 1488-nucleotide long non-coding RNA is filed under the name Xyrichtys novacula (pearly razorfish). The record is from RNAcentral. Lineage: Eukaryota; Metazoa; Chordata; Actinopteri; Labriformes; Labridae.